CAGAGAGGCCYCAAGGCGCAACGAGAGUGGAGGCCGGCUAAGGGCCCGGCCGAGGCGGGAUCCGGCCACCCGUUAACGGUGGCCGGCGCACCGCCGCCSUGCCGUGAGUYCGGCGCUCGUCUCGUCUUCCUUCGGGGRGGCGGCGGGCGUCGCGUCUGCGGCGGAGGAAGAGCGGGCACGUAUGCCCGAGCAGGACGAAGCCAGAGGAAACUCUGGUGGAGGUCCGCAGCGAUUCUGACGUGCAAAUCGAUCGUCCGACUUGGGUAUAGGGGCGAAAGACUAAUCGAACCUAUAGGA
Molecule: ribosomal RNA, 297 nt
Filed under: Pteraster obscurus
Lineage: Eukaryota; Metazoa; Echinodermata; Asteroidea; Velatida; Pterasteridae
Description: partial 28S large subunit ribosomal RNA
Rfam family: Eukaryotic large subunit ribosomal RNA (bases 178-287)
Source: RNAcentral